This 410-nucleotide ribosomal RNA is filed under the name uncultured microorganism. RNAcentral's name for it is "bacterial SSU rRNA". It matches the Rfam family "Bacterial small subunit ribosomal RNA", at positions 509 to 917 of the family's 1533-position model. The record is from RNAcentral.
CAGCCGCCGCGGUAAUACGUAGGGUGCGAGCGUUAAUCGGAUUUACUGGGCGUAAAGCGUGCGCAGGCGGCCCGUUAAGACAGGUGUGAAAUCCCUGGGCUCAACCUAGGAAUUGCGCUUGUGACUGGCGGGCUCGAGUACGGUAGAGGGGGGUGGAAUUCCUGGUGUAGCAGUGAAAUGCGUAGAGAUCAGGAGGAACACCGAUGGCGAAGGCAGCCCCCUGGGCCUGUACUGACGCUCAUGCACGAAAGCGUGGGGAGCAAACAGGAUUAGAUACCCUGGUAGUCCACGCCCUAAACGAUGGGUACUAGCCGUUUGGUGCGCGAGAGCGCUGAGUGGCGAAGCUAACGCGUGAAGUACCCCGCCUGGGGAGUACGGCCGCAAGGUUGAAACUUAAGGGAAUUGGCGGG